AGAGUGAACGCUGGCGGUAGGCCUAACACAUGCAAGUCGAACGGCAGCACAGUAGGAGCUUGCUCUUACGGGUGGCGAGUAGCGGACGGGUGAGGAAUACAUCGGAAUCUACCUUUUGGUGGGGGAUAACGUAGGGAAACUUACGCUAAUACCGCAUACGCCCUUCGGGGGAAAGCCGGGGACCAGCAAUGGCCUGGCGCUGAUAGAUGAGCCGAUGUCGGAUUAGCUAGUUGGUGAGGUAAUGGCUCACCAAGGCGACGAUCCGUAGCUGGUCUGAGAGGAUGAUCAGCCACACUGGAACUGAGACACGGUCCAGACUCCUACGGGAGCAGCAGUGGGGAAUA
RNAcentral lists this ribosomal RNA (344 nucleotides) under uncultured soil bacterium. RNAcentral's name for it is "bacterial SSU rRNA". It matches the Rfam family "Bacterial small subunit ribosomal RNA", at positions 26 to 363 of the family's 1533-position model. The record is from RNAcentral.